AUACGUAGGUGGCAAGCGUUAUCCGGAUUUACUGGGCGUAAAGGGAGCGUAGGCGGAUAUUUAAGUGGGAUGUGAAAUACCCGAGCUCAACUUGGGUGCUGCAUUCAAACUGGAUAUCUAGAGUGCAGGAGAGGAAAGCGGAAUUCCUAGUGUAGCGGUGAAAUGCGUAGAGAUUAGGAAGAACACCAGUGGCGAAGGCGCUUCUCUGGACUGUAACUGACGCUGAGGCGCGAAAGCGUGGGGAGC
This 246-nucleotide ribosomal RNA is filed under the name uncultured bacterium. RNAcentral's name for it is "partial 16S ribosomal RNA". It matches the Rfam family "Bacterial small subunit ribosomal RNA", at positions 523 to 769 of the family's 1533-position model. The record is from RNAcentral.